ACUUUUAAAGGAUAAAAGUAAUCCAUUGGCCUUAGGAGCCAAAAAAU
Molecule: transfer RNA, 47 nt
Filed under: Lemur catta (Ring-tailed lemur)
Lineage: Eukaryota; Metazoa; Chordata; Mammalia; Primates; Lemuridae
Description: tRNA-Leu
Source: RNAcentral